This 244-nucleotide ribosomal RNA is filed under the name uncultured Staphylococcus sp. RNAcentral describes it as "partial 16S ribosomal RNA". It matches the Rfam family "Bacterial small subunit ribosomal RNA", at positions 96 to 334 of the family's 1533-position model. Lineage: Bacteria; Bacillati; Bacillota; Bacilli; Caryophanales; Staphylococcaceae. The record is from RNAcentral.
CGGCGGACGGGUGAGUAACACGUGGAUAACCUACCUAUAAGACUGGGAUAACUUCGGGAAACCGGAGCUAAUACCGGAUAAUAUAUUGAACCGCAUGGUUCAAUAGUGGAAGACGGUUUUGCUGUCACUUAUAGAUGGAUCCGCGCCGCAUUAGCUAGUUGGUAAGGUAACGGCUUACAAAGGCAACGAUGCGUAGCCGACCUGAGAGGGUGAUCGGCCACACUGGAACUGAGACACGGUCCAG